This is a small nucleolar RNA of Grammomys surdaster, 132 nucleotides long. RefSeq annotates it as small nucleolar RNA SNORA17. The record is from RefSeq and is a predicted model, not a curated record. NCBI's taxonomy places the organism in Eukaryota, Metazoa, Chordata, Mammalia, Rodentia, Muridae. The transcript has a single exon.
UCAGAUGUUGCAGGUGUUGCAGAUGUGUCUGCUGUGUCACAUGAGCAUCAGUAGGUGGCAGGGAGAAGAGAGGCUAUGUCUGCACUCAGUGUUCUGACCUACGAACAUCUGAAUGAUUAGUAGCCUAACAUU